AGCUGUCGAAGGUGGGACUGGCGAUUGGGACGAAGUCGUAACAAGGUAGCCGUACCGGAAGGUGCGGCUGGAUCACCUCCUUU
This 83-nucleotide ribosomal RNA is filed under the name Streptomyces rochei. Its description in RNAcentral is "partial 16S ribosomal RNA". It matches the Rfam family "Bacterial small subunit ribosomal RNA", at positions 1451 to 1533 of the family's 1533-position model. Lineage: Bacteria; Bacillati; Actinomycetota; Actinomycetes; Kitasatosporales; Streptomycetaceae. The record is from RNAcentral. RNAcentral also lists the same sequence under 6 other names.